UACGUAGGGUGCGAGCGUUAAUCGGAAUUACUGGGCGUAAAGCGCGCGUAGGCGGCUUUUCAAGUCGAUUGUGAAAUCCCCGGGCUUAACCUGGGAACUGCAGUCGAGACUGUCUAGCUAGAGCAUGGGAGAGGGAAGUGGAAUUUCAGGUGUAGCGGUGAAAUGCGUAGAUAUCUGAAGGAACAUCAGUGGCGAAAGCGACUUCCUGGACCAAUACUGACGCUCAUGUGCGAAAGCGUGGGGAGCAAACAGG
RNAcentral lists this ribosomal RNA (253 nucleotides) under uncultured bacterium. RNAcentral's name for it is "partial 16S ribosomal RNA". It matches the Rfam family "Bacterial small subunit ribosomal RNA", at positions 524 to 776 of the family's 1533-position model. The record is from RNAcentral.